UUCCUCUUUAGUGCAAAUUGCACCAGGCUCACAGGGCGUCCUGUGGGAAUUGCUGGUCUAAAAGAAGCCAGUGGAGAAACGCCUGGCUUCGUCCCGACCUCUGCGCUAAACAAGAGGAAGUGGUCGCCCUCGCGCAAGUUUUCCAGAAUUUCAGCGGAAGCCGACUUGGAGCACCAGAAAUUCUACUUAAGCUGGAGCAAUCCGUCAUCUACUGCUGUCAAGGUCCCACGUAGAGAGAAAAGUCCUCGUGGAGGCGAACCAGUGCCUCAGUUUCCUCCUUCAGAGAAUGAAGAAAACACUUCCCCUUCUCGUCAAGCGCUGUGAGGCUCAAUGGUUGCUAGGAAUCCACUUGGAAAUCUGUACACAAAAGGUGCUGCCGUGGAUGUGAGAUGAGACGUCACGCUGCUCCUCGCACGGUGAACGUUUCAACCUCCUCCCCAGCUGGCCUCGGGGGGCCCUGGAAUGCAAGAACCUGUCUGGGGCAGACACAUCUCACUGUCACGGAGCAGCUCCAAGACUGGG
RNAcentral lists this long non-coding RNA (522 nucleotides) under Equus caballus (horse). RNAcentral describes it as "lncRNA (ENSECAG00000033103.2)". The record is from RNAcentral. Lineage: Eukaryota; Metazoa; Chordata; Mammalia; Perissodactyla; Equidae.